This 1307-nucleotide ribosomal RNA is filed under the name metagenome. Its description in RNAcentral is "SSU rRNA". It matches the Rfam family "Eukaryotic small subunit ribosomal RNA", at positions 483 to 1783 of the family's 1831-position model. The record is from RNAcentral.
AUACCGGGCCUUUUUGGGCUUGGUAAUUGGAAUGAGGGAGAGUUAAACGGACCAUCGAGUAUCCAUUGGAGGGCAAGUCUGGUGCCAGCAGCUGCGGUAAUACCAGCUCCAAUAGCGUAUAUUAAAGUUGUUGCAGUUAAAAAGCUCGUAGUUGGACUUGUGUGCGCUGUCCGCGGGUGGCCUGCGCCCAAAAGGGCGUUUCGGUUCGGCCCCGGUGGCGCCUUGAAAUCUGCAGCUGGGGGGACGUUGGCCUUAACUGGUCGGCGACCGCACGCCGGCUGCUCGGUUACUGUGAGAAAAUUAGAGUGUUCAAGGCAGGCAUUGGGUGCAAUUGAAUACAUUAGCAUGGAAUAAUAAAAUAUGGCUCCUGCCGUAUUUUGUUGGUUUUGACUGGUGGGAGUAGUGAUUGAUAGGGACGGUUGGGGGUGCUAGUAUUGAGCGGCCAGAGGUGAAAUUCAUGGAUUCGCUCAAGACUAACUUAUGCGAAAGCAUUCACCAAGGACGUCCUCUUUAAUCAAGAACGAAAGUUGGGGGAUCGAAGACGAUCAGAUACUGUCGUAGUCUCAACCAUAAACUAUGUCGACUUGGGAUCGGCGGUAGUUUUUUCAUUAAGACACUGUCGGGACCACGGGAGAAAUCAAAGUGUCUGGACUCUGGGGGAAGUAUGGUCGCAAGGCUGAAACUUGAAGGAAUUGACGGAAGGGCACCACCAGGAGUGGAGCCUGCGGCUUAAUUUGACCCAACACGGGGAAACUUACCAGGUCCAGAGAUGUAGAGGAUUGACAGAUUGAAGCUCUUUCUUGAUCACUUCGGUGGUGGUGCAUGGCCGUUCUUAGUUGGUGGAGUGAUUUGUCUGGUUAAUUCCGUUAACGAACGAGACCUCAGCCUGCUAGUGUAGUCGGCUGGAUUACCUUUGGCGAUCCGUGAUUUCGACUUCUUAGAGGGACAAUCGACGCGCAGUCGAUGGAAGUUUGAGGCAAUAACAGGUCUGUGAUGCCCUUAGAUGUUCUGGGCCGCACGCGCGCUACACUGCUGGGCUCAGCGAGUUUUACUUGGCCGAGAGGCCCGGUUAAUCUUGUGAAAUCCCAGCGUGCUUGGGCUCGCCUCCUGCAACUGGAGGCGCCAACGAGGAAUUCCUAGUAGACGCAGGUCAUCAACCUGCAUCGAUUACGUCCCUGCCCUUUGUACACACCGCCCGUCGUUCCAUAAGAGUGAGGCAUCCGGUGAAUUCUCGGGAGAGCCUGGGCGUGGCCAGCAAUGGUCUGCUCGGGUUUGAACUUGCAUAAACUUGGUGCCUAUGAUUAGGG